This 366-nucleotide ribosomal RNA is filed under the name uncultured eukaryote. Its description in RNAcentral is "partial 18S ribosomal RNA". It matches the Rfam family "Eukaryotic small subunit ribosomal RNA", at positions 592 to 976 of the family's 1831-position model. The record is from RNAcentral.
CAAUAGCGUAUAUUAACGUUGUUGCAGUUAAACAGCUCGUAGUUGGAUUUCUGGAGGGAGCGUCGGCCCGUAUUUACGAGUGCGUGACGUCUCUGUCCAUCCUUGCGGGAAGGCACGGCAUUGAUUUGUUGUGUCGGAUCGCAUCAUUUACUGUGAAAAAAUUAGAGUGUUCAAAGCAGGCUUUCGCUUGAAUACAUUAGCAUGGAAUAAUAAGAUAGGACUUUGGUGCUAUUUUGUUGGUUGAGCCUAAAGUAAUGAUUAAUAGGGAUAGUUGGGGGCACCUGUAUUGCGUUGUCAGAGGUGAAAUUCUUGGAUUUACGCAAGACAAACAGCUGCGAAAGCGUCUGCCAAGGAUGUUUUCAUUAA